GAAAGAGGCAAGGAAACAGAUUUGCCCUAGAGCCUCUGGAGGGAACGCAGACAUGCUGACCGAGAUUUUAGCCCAGUGAAACCCAUCUCAUAUUUCUGACCUCCAGAAUGGUGUGCAUGCAUUUGCCAAAGAAGUGAUGCUGGAGGUUGGAUGAAUUGCACCUGCAGGAAGCA
Molecule: long non-coding RNA, 173 nt
Organism: Choloepus didactylus (southern two-toed sloth)
Lineage: Eukaryota; Metazoa; Chordata; Mammalia; Pilosa; Megalonychidae
Exons: 2
Source: RefSeq, a predicted model, not a curated record